Molecule: unclassified non-coding RNA, 140 nt
Filed under: Oryza sativa (Asian cultivated rice)
Lineage: Eukaryota; Viridiplantae; Streptophyta; Magnoliopsida; Poales; Poaceae
Description: partial microRNA MIR455b-59 precursor
Source: RNAcentral
GGCACGUACUUCCUCCGUUCCACAAUAUAAGUCAUUCUAGCAUUUACUAUAUUCAUAUUGAUGUUAAUGAAUCUAGAUCUAGAUUCAUUAACAUCAAUAUGAAUGUGGGAAAUGGUAAAAUGACUUACAUUAUGAAACGG